Molecule: ribosomal RNA, 253 nt
Filed under: uncultured bacterium
Lineage: Bacteria
Description: partial 16S ribosomal RNA
Rfam family: Bacterial small subunit ribosomal RNA
Source: RNAcentral
GACAGAGGGUGCAAACGUUGCUCGGAAUUACUGGGCGUAAAGGGCGUGUAGGCGGGAAGGCAAGUCGGGCGUGAAAGCCCCGGGCUUAACCUGGGAACUGCGUUUGAUACGGCAGGGCUAGAGUUCGGGAGAGGAGAGUGGAAUUCCCAGUGUAGAGGUGAAAUUCGUAGAUAUUGGGAAGAACACCGAUGGCGAAGGCAGCCAUCUGGACCGACACUGACGCUGAGGCGCGAAAGCGUGGGGAGCAAACAGG